Molecule: ribosomal RNA, 547 nt
Filed under: uncultured bacterium
Lineage: Bacteria
Description: bacterial SSU rRNA
Rfam family: Bacterial small subunit ribosomal RNA
Source: RNAcentral
UAGGGAAUUUUUCACAAUGAGCGAAAGCUUGAUGGAGCAAUGCCGCGUGAACGAUGAAGGUCUUUAAGAUUGUAAAGUUCUUUUAUUUGGGAAGAAUGACUUUAGCAGGUAAUGGCUAGAGUUUGACUGUACCAUUUUGAAUAAGUGACGACUAACUAUGUGCCAGCAGUCGCGGUAAUACAUAGGUCGCAAGCGUUAUCCGGAUUUAUUGGGCGUAAAGCAAGCGCAGGCGGAUUGAAAAGCCUGGUGUUAAAGGCAGCUGCUUAACAGUUGUAUGCAUUGGAAACUAUUAAUCUAGAGUGUGGUAGGGAGUUUUGGAAUUUCAUGUGGAGCGGUGAAAUGCGUAGAUAUAUGAAGGAACACCAGUGGCGAAGGCGAAAACUUAGGCCAUUACUGACGCUUAGGCUUGAAAGUGUGGGGAGCAAAUAGGAUUAGAUACCCUAGUAGUCCACACCGUAAACGAUAGAUACUAGCUGUCGGGGCGAUCCCCUCGGUAGUGAAGUUAACACAUUAAGUAUCUCGCCUGGGUAGUACAUUCGCAAGAAUG